This 27-nucleotide small RNA is filed under the name Bombyx mori (domestic silkworm). Its description in RNAcentral is "ovarian small RNA-9390". The record is from RNAcentral. Lineage: Eukaryota; Metazoa; Arthropoda; Insecta; Lepidoptera; Bombycidae.
UUACUUAGUGUCCAGCUGGUUGCUUCA